UGGAAACAUUCAGUUUCCAGGUGAACUUUAGAUUUGAAAAAAAUUAUCCAUAUGAACAGGCCUCCGUAACUGAACAGAAGAUAAAUAUCAAUCAAUUCAAGGUUAAUCUAAUUUGAAGUGGCAAACGUUAAGGAAAUUGAGUCUUCUCAUAUUCCUACUCUGUACUUUGAUUUCCAUCGAGAACCAAAUGCAGAAACCAUGCAAGGCUUAUCAUCGUCACGAUCAUCAUUUAUAACUCAUAUUGGUCCUCUUCCUCGUGGGGUUUGUAUCCUUCGAUAUCCUUGUCUAUGGAGGACGAAGAAGAAGGCCACCCUCAACGAUCACUGGAGUAUUUAUCGUGAUUCUUGUCCACAAGAUGAGGAAACCAAGCCAGAGGUGAUUCUGGAAAUUUACAAAGUCCAUUCCAGUGUGGCUUCAGCUCUCUUGAGGCUUGCUUUGAUUGUUCCAUUGAGGUUGAGUUAAUAAUGAAACUUGAGCAGAGCUGUGAUGCUUCUGUUUCAUUGGAUGCUGCUGAAUUGUUGAAAUAUGAGAAAGAUUCUACCCCAACGAAAGGCUGAAGGGGUUUGAUAUAAUAGACAGAAUCAAGUCACAACUUGAGAAGUGUGUCCUGAAGUUGUUCCUUGCGCUGAUAUAGUUGUUUUAGCAGCCAGAGGUGUUGUUCAAGUAUAUAUCCCAGUGCCUCCCACCUUCUACCUCAAAUCUCUCUCUCAGCUUCUCAUCGGACAUGUGAAUUUCAGGCCAUUGGUCCAUUCUAUCCAUUAUUAACGGGCAGAACAGAUGAUUUGGUCUCUUUCGCAGACAGCAACAUACGAGCUUCCUUCACCUCUAGCUGAUUUAUAUGAAGCCGUUGCAUGUUUUGCACCUAAGUGUCUUGAUGAAAGAGAAGCUGUAGUCUAUUGAGUAUAAUGCUUCCUUCUCUCCGAGUUCCUUGUGGUGGCAUGCAAGCUUUUGUUUUACUCUGUAGAAUGGCUAUCAGACACUUUCCCCAGUACUUUAUGUUUAUCUGUAUGAAUCCACAGAGGUGUAUUUGAUUAGCCUCAGUUUUGUUCAGAUGUGCAUUCUGUAGUGACCUAGAAUCUUAACGUUUCUAAUUGUUCCCUUGCAUUUACUUCUAAGUGUUCACAGCGUUGGAAUGAUCCACUGCAAAUUCUUCACAAACAGCAUCCACAACUUUGGUGGGACUAAUAAGCCUGAUCCCUUUCUUGAUCUUCAAUUGAUGCAAUAACGUUGAUGAAUCGGUUACUUCAGCAGCAGCACCUUCCUUUGAUGUGUUGGUGCCCUUAUCAUCAGCAUCCUAAGCUUCUAAAGACUGCUUGGGAUCAUCAUCAGCAAUAUCAUCAACUUCACGUAGCGGAUUACGCUCUCCAUCUUCUGGAGACCGGGGAAGGAAGGAUGCAACUCGUCAGCACCACCACUAUCACUUUCCUUCUAAGGCUCAUUGUCUUUCUCACUAUUGUCUUCAACGACACCAUAAGUUUCAUAUGAAGGUUCACUAUAGUCCUCACUAGAGGAUCCAGGAAUCAAUUUGGCCUACGAGGGACCUGGAAACAUGUUGGUUCAGUAGACCACCAGUCUUCUCCAAGGUAGAGGAAUCCUCUAUACCGAUCAAUAACUAAUGUCUGGGGAAGAAACUGGGAUUAAGGUUAGAGCAUAUGCUUCAGAUGCAUACUUGUUCCAACGAGACUUUCCCCGAACAAUGAUGACGUCUUCACAGGUUCAGUGGGUCAGUUCCGGAACAAUUGUUCGAAGGGGGCAUAGAGGAGAUUAGGAAGAAGGACUUUUGUUCAGUUUUCCCUACGCUAACUUUCUGGCUUUUGUUGUCACGAAUUUGAACACUGAGGAAUUUAGAUAAAUUUCUGUUGUUUACUUUAAUAUUUAGUAUCCAGAUUAAAACCAAACUGUCCAAUGCUUGUUCAACAAAAUCUAUGAAAUUUAAGUUCUUCUCUAUCUCUCUCUUUUUCCCUUUCAAAUUGGUUGAUGGUCUAAUAUAUUAGCACAUUCUUAUAAAUCUUAAAUUUGGACCAUAUGCAGCACUCCUCUACCCUUAGGGCAUGCUGAAUUGUUUCAUCACUGACAUUAUGCUUAUUUGCAGAGGAGACAUUCAAUGACUUGUUGCACCUUUCUGUCGUAUGAAAAAUGAAUUAUAAAUCUUAUAAAUCUUGUGACUGCAUUUAUUGCAUCUAUUUAUGAAGAUAUUCUAUUUAAAACAAUUCUUAAAUGCACAGCCCCUAAGGCAAGGGAAAUUUUCAAUUCCUGCUUUCCAAAACUUUCA
Manihot esculenta (cassava) is the source of this 2272-nucleotide RNA transcript. RefSeq lists it as uncharacterized. The record is from RefSeq and is a predicted model, not a curated record. NCBI's taxonomy places the organism in Eukaryota, Viridiplantae, Streptophyta, Magnoliopsida, Malpighiales, Euphorbiaceae. The transcript has 3 exons.